UACAGAGGUCCCGAGCGUUGUUCGGAUUCACUGGGCGUAAAGGGUGCGCAGGUGGGUUGGCAAGUUUGAUGUGAAAGCCCCGGGCUUAACCCGGGAAUGGCAUUGAAUACUGCUGAUCUGGAGGAUUGGAGGGGGGACUGGAAUUCUUGGUGUAGCAGUGAAAUGCGUAGAUAUCAAGAGGAACACCGGUGGCGAAGGCGGAUCUCUGGGCCAUUACUGACGCUGAGGAGCGAAAGCGUGGGGAGCGAACAGG
Molecule: ribosomal RNA, 253 nt
Filed under: uncultured bacterium
Lineage: Bacteria
Description: partial 16S ribosomal RNA
Rfam family: Bacterial small subunit ribosomal RNA
Source: RNAcentral